GGUAAAGUGGCUGAGUAAAGCGGUAAAUUGUAAAUUUAUGAACGGGUUGACCCCUUUAUCA
Molecule: transfer RNA, 61 nt
Filed under: Scolytus seulensis
Lineage: Eukaryota; Metazoa; Arthropoda; Insecta; Coleoptera; Curculionidae
Description: tRNA-Tyr
Rfam family: tRNA
About the family: Transfer RNA (tRNA) molecules are approximately 80 nucleotides in length. Their secondary structure includes four short double-helical elements and three loops (D, anti-codon, and T loops). Further hydrogen bonds mediate the characteristic L-shaped molecular structure. tRNAs have two regions of fundamental functional importance: the anti-codon, which is responsible for specific mRNA codon recognition, and the 3' end, to which the tRNAs corresponding amino acid is attached (by aminoacyl-tRNA synthetases). tRNAs cope with the degeneracy of the genetic code in two manners: having more than one tRNA (with a specific anti-codon) for a particular amino acid; and 'wobble' base-pairing, i.e. permitting non-standard base-pairing at the 3rd anti-codon position.
Source: RNAcentral